Molecule: small RNA, 84 nt
Filed under: Streptomyces prasinus
Lineage: Bacteria; Bacillati; Actinomycetota; Actinomycetes; Kitasatosporales; Streptomycetaceae
Also listed under: 1 other name
Description: nrdJ RNA
Rfam family: nrdJ RNA
Source: RNAcentral
ACCUGUCGCGGGCGACGUGAGUGUGCGCCCGCGCCAUCAGAACAAACACCGUGCCACGGGAACAUCGGGGCACUUCAGGGCGUU